GCUGGGUGCAGUGGUGCAUGCUGUAGACCCAGCUACUCGGGAGGCAAGGUGGGAGGAUGGCUUGAGCCCAGAAGUUCGGGGCCGUAAUGCGCUGUGCCAGUCGGGUGUCUGUCCUAAGUUUAGCCCCUAUGUAGUGACCUCUCAGGAGUGCAGAACCCUCAGGUUGCCUAAGGAGGGAUGAACCUGACCCAGGCUGGAAACAGAGAAGGUGAAAAUUCCCAUGCUGAUCAGUGGUGGGAUGGUGCCUGUGAACAGCCACUGCACUCUAGCCUGGACAAUAUAGCGAGAACCUGUCUCU
RNAcentral lists this signal recognition particle RNA (298 nucleotides) under Rhinopithecus roxellana (golden snub-nosed monkey). RNAcentral's name for it is "Metazoan signal recognition particle RNA (ENSRROG00000001337.1)". It matches the Rfam family "Metazoan signal recognition particle RNA". Rfam says of the family: The signal recognition particle (SRP) is a universally conserved ribonucleoprotein. It is involved in the co-translational targeting of proteins to membranes. The eukaryotic SRP consists of a 300-nucleotide 7S RNA and six proteins: SRPs 72, 68, 54, 19, 14, and 9. Lineage: Eukaryota; Metazoa; Chordata; Mammalia; Primates; Cercopithecidae. The record is from RNAcentral.